Molecule: non-coding RNA, 113 nt
Organism: Acanthosepion pharaonis
Lineage: Eukaryota; Metazoa; Mollusca; Cephalopoda; Sepiida; Sepiidae
Source: the annotation of a GenBank genome assembly
UAUGGCCAUAUCAAUUUGAAACACCUGUUCUCAUACAAUCGUCGAACUUAAGUAACGAUGAUCCUGGCCAGUACUUAGAUAGGUGACCUCUUCGGAAUACCAAGUGCUGUAAG